This 300-nucleotide unclassified non-coding RNA is filed under the name uncultured Entolomataceae. Its description in RNAcentral is "sequence contains 5.8S rRNA gene, ITS2". The stretch from base 1 to 71 matches the Rfam family "5.8S ribosomal RNA", at positions 84 to 154 of the family's 154-position model. The record is from RNAcentral. Lineage: Eukaryota; Fungi; Basidiomycota; Agaricomycetes; Agaricales; Entolomataceae.
GUGAGUCAUCGAAUCUUUGAACGCACCUUGCGCUCCUUGGUAUUCCGAGGAGCAUGCCUGUUUGAGUGUCAUUAAAUUCUCAACCAUUACAAGUUUUCUUUUUUACUUGCCAUGGCUUGGACGUUGGGAUUCUGCGGGCUUACCAAAGUCGGCUGUCCUUAAAUGCAUUAGCAGAGCUUUUGCUGCCAAACUCUGGUGUGAUAACUAUCAUCGCCAUUGCGAGGCUGCAUGCUUUGAAGCUCAGCUUCUAAUCGUCUCUUGAGAGACAAUACUUUGACCAUCUGACCUCAAAUCAGGUAG